RNAcentral lists this transfer RNA (70 nucleotides) under Camelus ferus (Wild Bactrian camel). It matches the Rfam family "tRNA". Rfam says of the family: Transfer RNA (tRNA) molecules are approximately 80 nucleotides in length. Their secondary structure includes four short double-helical elements and three loops (D, anti-codon, and T loops). The record is from Rfam by way of RNAcentral. Lineage: Eukaryota; Metazoa; Chordata; Mammalia; Artiodactyla; Camelidae.
GGUUAUUGCUCAGCGGUAGAGCGUGUGCCUAGCUUGCACGAGGUCUUGGGUUCAAUCCCCAGUGCUGCCA